Non-coding RNA from Lactuca sativa (garden lettuce), 866 nucleotides. Lineage: Eukaryota; Viridiplantae; Streptophyta; Magnoliopsida; Asterales; Asteraceae. The record is from RefSeq and is a predicted model, not a curated record.
ACUUUUUUUUACCAUCUUUAACUAUAAAAUCAUCAUAGAUUAAUUAGGGUCUGUGAUUCUUUCUUUUUUUACAAGAAAUACGGUUUCAAUUGAUAACCGCCAUGUAGCAUCAACUGCACGAUCCUUUAAUCUCGCCCGCCAAAAUUUUGAGCUUUCCCUCUUAAAAUCGAUAUUAAGUUUAUAGGCAUAAUUAAGCCCUAAUUUUACAGAAGUGAAUUUCACAGCAGUCAAUUUUGAGCUUUCCCUCUCAAAAUCGAUAUCUAUUGUUGCAGCAUCACAACCGUUUGCAGUCAAAUCUGAGUUUUUUCACCACUGUGCGCAGGUAUUUCCUAAGAUUCGAGGAAUACAAUGAGUUGCCCAUAAAGGAAAGGGAGGAGUGUCUCUCUUAUAAAGGAUAAGCCAAAACACAAAUUAGUACAUUUACAAAUUGAGUUUGAUGAGUUAGGUCAAACUAUCGGAAAUAACAGAUUUGAAUUCACCACCUAUUGUGGAGUCACUGUGAGAACUAGGAUUUCUAUCCUAAAACAGUGGAAUGAAGUGCCUCAACCUGAGAUUGAUGAGUUGUGGUUAAAUAUUAAGGUACUUAAAGUUUGCAAUCAACAAUGGAGGAGCUACAAGUCCAAGCUUGUCAAGUUCAUGGACAGACGCAUUGAUCCGUUAGAAAAAUACCCCUACCUAGACAAAGACAUGUGGAAUGAUUUUGUAAAGCAAAAGUCCAAGCCCGAAUUUAAGGAAAUAAGAGUGAAAGCAACAGCAAGUGUGAUGAUGAACAAGAACCCGCCCCGUUUAGGCCCACAAGGGUAUCGUGGCAUGCGACCUUGAUGGGAGCAAGAGAUGGAGUCUGGUGUAUUGACAAAAGCCCACCA